AAGAGAAUAGCUUAAUUUGAUAAAGCUUUAGUUUUCAAAACUAAUGUUAAAGGUUCAAUUCCUUUUUCUCUUG
Molecule: transfer RNA, 73 nt
Filed under: Choreocolax polysiphoniae
Lineage: Eukaryota; Rhodophyta; Florideophyceae; Gigartinales; Choreocolacaceae
Description: tRNA-Trp
Rfam family: tRNA
About the family: Transfer RNA (tRNA) molecules are approximately 80 nucleotides in length.
Source: RNAcentral